CUUUCAUAAAUUCAACUUGUUACACCCCAAUGGCUGUAAAAAGACAACUGGUCUUGUGCUUUCCUGAUUACUAAGCUUAGUGGAGCUAAACUCAGACAAGCAAAUGACUGCUAACUGGGAAGUGUGUGACUGGACAGCCACAGAAACCAUGGGCUGGGGAAGUAGGGUAGUGCUUGCAAAGCCUGCAGAUCUUCAACCUUUUAGGCUGUUUUUAUAUAUACUCCCAAUAAAAAAUGCAUGUUUUCAUUAGGUUGGAAGUGUUGGGUUUUUUUUUUUUUUUUAGCGUGUUCACCAUUUUUUAUCUAGAUUUCCCCAAUUGUUCAGAAAUGUGUAUUGGGUGUGUCUGGAUAUUGCUUCCCUACUCUGUUGUUCCAACAAACUAGUUAUAAACUGUAUCUAAGCAAAAUAGUUGCAAGGCAGUUGCUCUACCUGUCCACUAGGUGAUGCUGUGGGAUUAGUAUUUCUUGCAAUGGGUUUCACCAAGAUCUUUGCUUAUUAUGGUACUUUAUUGAAUGUAUUAAUAUGAUUAUACUUUGCAUUCAAAUGUAAGCUUAAAAUAAUGUUUUUGGUUGUCAUACCUCUACACUAUUAACACAUACACACACACAAUUUAAAAGGCAUAUACCCAUAGGUACCACAUAAUAUUAUGUGUAUAUCCCUUUUCUGUGGAAUCGAUAUGUUAGCAAUAGACAAGCAUUAGCAAGUCGGUUUUGUACCUUUUUUAUUUUCUGAAAACAUGACUGAUGUUUAAAUUCCUCUUGUAUCACAGUAAAUGCAAGAUAUUCACUGAAUUUAACCCCUUAAGGACAGAGUCAAUUGUCUGUUCUGAACCCAAACAAAACCUAGAAUGUGAGCUAUAUGUCUGUUAAACCAUAAUUUACCUCCUUCAUAAGUGCACCCACACUUAUUAUAUAUCAUUUUGUUCAGGACAAACAGGCAUUUCAUAUCACAUCAAAUAUUUUUUAUUUGGAACGCAAUUUAAUAUGAAAUACUAGAUUGACUGCAGG
Non-coding RNA from Pelobates cultripes (western spadefoot toad), 1007 nucleotides. Lineage: Eukaryota; Metazoa; Chordata; Amphibia; Anura; Pelobatidae. The record is from the annotation of a GenBank genome assembly.